RNAcentral lists this long non-coding RNA (1250 nucleotides) under Parus major (Great Tit). RNAcentral's name for it is "lncRNA (ENSPMJG00000008078.1)". Lineage: Eukaryota; Metazoa; Chordata; Aves; Passeriformes; Paridae. The record is from RNAcentral.
AAAAAUAAGCAUGUGCCACUUAUCUGUUCAGUGUUAUUGAAUCAUUUUUGAAUCAUUUCAGUAUAGAAUGAUUUACUUUUUUUUUCUUUUUUUUUUUUUUUUCCCUGCUGAUCCUUGGCCAUAGCCCAGGAAAAGUUGUGCACUGUUAUCACUCUCAUGGGAUUUACCAGAAAGGGAGCAGGAUCUAAAUAAGCUUAAAAGUUUCUGAUUACCAUGAUUGGAACAUCAAAAUCCUUUAACAAUAAUAAUAAUAAUAAUAAUAAUAAAAAAAUCCCAAUUCUUUUAUAACUGUGCAUUCAAAUCCUACAGGUUAUUCAGGUCCUACACCAUCUGAUUUCUGUGCCACCUCACUGUUUUCUUCUGCCUCUGAAUGGCCCUGGGCAGGUGCCCCUCCUGUUGGGUCAGUCAUUUCCUAACUCACAAAUUGGGAAGCCAUGCUGGGUGGUCAGAGCUCAACCAAGGCUCCUUUGCAAAAGCAAUGCAGUCCUUCACACAGCAGCCUCUUUGGGCUAAGGUGGGUACAAAUCCACACCUGUCAUUAGGACUGCCAUCAUCAUUGCCCAGUAAUGAUGAUAAUGAGACAGUUCCUAGCAAUGCAUUAUUAAUAUGAUGCUGUUACCCACAGCAAGUGCUGAUCUCUAAAGUUUUAUUACACCGAGGCAGCCUUAAAAUCUUCAAAUCAUUUACAGCUUUAUCACACUUUCUCAGUAGCUGUUAUUGCUCAGACAUCCCUCUUUUUCUUCCUCUUGCCUUCUCAGAUGAGCAAAGAUCUUUGAUGCUUCCAUUUUCUCACUCCAUGAAUGGAUCAAAGAGCCCAAAAUCCACAGGGCUUUGAAACAGGAGGAGCAGUGGAAGAGAGAUUACAGUCAGCUGGAACAGAAAUGCAUUAGUCUGGAGCUUGAUUGGUCUGGUUUUGUGGUUGACAUUUGUGAGCAUGAAAGCAUUAGGGAGAAAUAACAAUGGCAUUUUUAGAUAAAAUAACAGUAGAUUAAAAAAAGUUAAUUUUGUACUAAAUUCCACAGUAAUAUUAUGUCUUGCAGUAAAUUUCUAACUAUCCUGAAGUGAUAACCAGUUUUCUUUUGUGUAAAAGGAGCCAUAGUCUAAGGAGACUCUUGAGUGGCAGCCUAGAUAUGAGAAAUGUUAUUUGAAUUAGGAAUUCUUAUCCAUGUUUAUAGUACUUUCCAGAGGCUUUCUCUCAUUUUUAGGCCUUUUUCACAAAAGCAUAUGCAAUAAAAAUGUUACUGCUGCCA